Molecule: ribosomal RNA, 600 nt
Filed under: uncultured bacterium
Lineage: Bacteria
Description: bacterial SSU rRNA
Rfam family: Bacterial small subunit ribosomal RNA
Source: RNAcentral
AACAAGGCCUUUACUGACGCUAAAGCUCGAAAGGUGCGGGUAUCGAACAGGAUUAGAUACCCUGGUAGUCCGCACGGUAAAACGAUGGAUGCCCGCUGUUUGCGAUAUACUGUGAGCGGCCAAGAGAAAUCGUUAAGCAUCCCACCUGGGGAGUACGCCGGCAACGGUGAAACUCAAAGGAAUUGACGGGGGCCCGCACAAGCGGAGGAACAUGUGGUUUAAUUCGAUGAUACGCGAGGAACCUUACCCGGGCUUGAACUGCCAGUGAACGAUACAGAGAUGUUGAGGCCCUUCGGGGCACUGGUGGAGGUGCUGCAUGGUUGUCGUCAGCUCGUGCCGUGAGGUGUCGGCUUAAGUGCCAUAACGAGCGCAACCCUUUUCAUUAGUUGCCAUCAGGUAAUGCUGGGCACUCUGGUGAUACUGCCACCGUAAGGUGUGAGGAAGGUGGGGAUGACGUCAAAUCAGCACGGCCCUUACGUCCGGGGCUACACACGUGUUACAAUGGGUGGUACAGAGAGUCGGAUCAACGCAAGUUGUUUCUAAUCCUAAAAGCCAUCCUCAGUUCGGAUUGGGGUCUGCAACCCGACCCCAUGAAGCUGG